This 899-nucleotide long non-coding RNA is filed under the name Oreochromis niloticus (Nile tilapia). Its description in RNAcentral is "lncRNA (ENSONIG00000041480.1)". The record is from RNAcentral. Lineage: Eukaryota; Metazoa; Chordata; Actinopteri; Cichliformes; Cichlidae.
AUCAUAAGGAUCCUUAGAGAACAAGUGGAGAGCCUGAAUGUGACCAAAAAUGAGCUGGGUGUGGAUGACGACACACUGCAGCAGUGGGUGGCCGAUGUGCAGAAAUGGGCUGAAGAAACUGAUCAAACUGAUGGCAGCCUUAGAGCGUUGCAGGCACGAAUAGAGGAGCUUGUCGUCAUCAUCAGAGUGCGAACACAAAGUCUUUACAGACAAAAUGAUUGCAACAAGAGGCGACACAGAAUUCGCAAGGUCAUCUUAGAUGAGAAGAAACGCUUGGCGGCUGCUGUUGACGACUACAACAAGCUUGCUGAACCAACAAAGCAAAUCGUAUCCAGUGAUGCCCUCAAGCAGACCGACAUUUGGCCCUGGCAGAGCACAAGUGAACCUGCUGCAGACCUCCAGACAAAGAGAAAGGUCUUUGAGAAGGUGAUGGCUGUGAGGCGCCUGAGAGAGGAGAUGAUCCUUUGCAGGGAGAUGCGGCAUCACUGGAUAGUGUUGCGAAUGCGAUCUGUGGUGUUGGGGACAAUCUCCUCAGACUCCUCCCUUGUUGGCAUGUCAGAGGAUGCACAGAAGGGACUCUGUAGCCUGGUUUUAAAAAAACAAAGUGAACUGAAAGUUGAAAUGCUCAAAGUAAAGUACAAGAGAAUCCUCAGCCACCAACCACUCCUGGAAAUGGACUCGGAGGAGGAAGACAUUCCAGACGAUGCCACUGAGAGUGAUUUGAGCACUUCUGUGGAAGACUGAUUGUGUCAUCAUUGAUGUUAUGUUUGGUAAAAUAAAAAGUUAAUCACAUUUCUGUUUAAUGUGAUUUUUACAAUGUCUGUUUUAGAAAUUGCUUAUCAUCAACAGACAUUUUACAUGUUGAGUUGAAAAAUGGAAUUCCCUUGGUGCAGUUGUUU